Molecule: long non-coding RNA, 671 nt
Filed under: Dermacentor andersoni
Lineage: Eukaryota; Metazoa; Arthropoda; Arachnida; Ixodida; Ixodidae
Description: uncharacterized LOC126532418
Source: RNAcentral
UGUACUAUAGGGAGAGUUAUAACCGAAAGUACUCUCGUUUGUCGUUACAAUUGUGCCUGCUUGAAAGGUUACAUGUCCAGUGCAAGCACUGCUUGUCGUUCGAACAUAUGAGCUGAGCGAAAAGCCGACGUUGGAUUCUGUGUUUCUUGGUCCGAAGUUUACCGAUGAAAGCUCAACUUCUCUUCGUGACCACGUCUCUUUUAGUCUUCGGCCAAGUACUUCGAGCUGCCAGCAAGGAUGACCCGAAACAACGGUUUCCCGUGCAAAUGCAUAUCAAUAAAACCAUAGUGCUGGCAAACUUAACGUUGGCAUUUAGGCACUGGUUAAUAUGGCACUACACGUUUAUCUUUACAAAUGGCUUGCUCUCUGUACGUAACAGCGGAAAUCUAAGUGGGAACUGCGAGCUAAAAGUGGGAGAGAAAAUGUCCGUAAUUUUUUGUCCCUUCGACCUUUCGAGAAGCGUUGCAACGUACCUCGUCAUAAAGAAGAACAGCUUGAGACGGAAGGAGCAAUACUUCAACAUCACUCACAACAUCGAGAAGGGAACUUUUGAUGUGUAUGUGUGGUUCAAAUCGCCUAUUGGUCGGGGUGAGUACUAUACGUAUUUGUCAGAUUUCGGCCUAUAUAUGGCGUAUAACUACGCUUUUUGUUGGCAACAUACAGGGGAACAG